UACAGGGGGUGCGAGCGUUAAUCGGAAUUACUGGGCGUAAAGGGCGCGUAGGCGGUCGAGUAAGUCGGAUGUGAAAUCCCCGGGCUUAACCUGGGAAUUGCAUUCGAUACUGCUUGGCUAGAGUGUGGAAGAGGGAAGCGGAAUUUCCGGUGUAGCGGUGAAAUGCGUAGAUAUCGGAAGGAACACCAGUGGCGAAGGCGGCUUCCUGGUCCAACACUGACGCUGAGGCGCGAAAGCGUGGGGAGCAAACAGGAUUAGAUACCCUGGUAGUCCACGCUGUAAACGAUGAGAACUAGAUGUUGGGGGGUAUAACCCCUCAGUGUCGCAGCUAACGCGUUAAGUUCUCCGCCUGGGGAGUACGGCCGCAAGGUUG
RNAcentral lists this ribosomal RNA (373 nucleotides) under uncultured prokaryote. RNAcentral describes it as "bacterial SSU rRNA". It matches the Rfam family "Bacterial small subunit ribosomal RNA", at positions 524 to 896 of the family's 1533-position model. The record is from RNAcentral.